RNAcentral lists this ribosomal RNA (337 nucleotides) under uncultured cyanobacterium. RNAcentral's name for it is "bacterial SSU rRNA". It matches the Rfam family "Bacterial small subunit ribosomal RNA", at positions 356 to 707 of the family's 1533-position model. The record is from RNAcentral. Lineage: Bacteria; Bacillati; Cyanobacteriota.
GGAAAUUUUUCCGCAAUGGGCGAAAGCCUGACGGAGCAAGACCGCGUGGGGGAGGAAGGUUCUUGGAUUGUCAACCCCUUUUCUCAGGGAAGAACGCAAUGACGGUACCUGAGGAAAAAGCAUCGGCUAACUCCGUGCCAGCAGCCGCGGUAAUACGGGGGAUGCAAGCGUUAUCCGGAAUGAUUGGGCGUAAAGAGUCCGUAGGUAGUCAUCCAAGUCUGCUGUUAAAGAGCGAGGCUUAACCUCGUAAAGGCAGUGGAAACUGGAAGACUAGAGUGUAGUAGGGGCAGAGGGAAUUCCUGGUGUAGCGGUGAAAUGCGUAGAGAUCAGGAAGAAC